This 226-nucleotide unclassified non-coding RNA is filed under the name uncultured fungus. RNAcentral's name for it is "partial contains 5.8S ribosomal RNA, internal transcribed spacer 2, and large subunit ribosomal RNA". The stretch from base 1 to 52 matches the Rfam family "5.8S ribosomal RNA", at positions 103 to 154 of the family's 154-position model. Lineage: Eukaryota; Fungi. The record is from RNAcentral.
AACGCACAUUGCGCCCGCCAGUAUUCUGGCGGGCAUGCCUGUUCGAGCGUCAUUUCAACCUUCAGUUUUCUGAUGUUGGACACUGUAGGAAACUACAGGGCCAAAAUAUAGUGGCGAAAGCACCUAUGCCAAGUGAAGUAAACUCUCGCUACGGCUACAGUGACGAUCUGCCAUACCUUACUUUCAGGUUGACCUCGAAUCAGACAGGAAUACCCGCUGAACUUAA